This is a small nucleolar RNA of Podarcis muralis (Common wall lizard), 72 nucleotides long. Ensembl annotates it as small nucleolar RNA SNORD59. NCBI's taxonomy places the organism in Eukaryota, Metazoa, Chordata, Lepidosauria, Squamata, Lacertidae. The record is from Ensembl.
CCUUCACUGAUGAGUAAAUUUAUGACUUUCGUUCUUCUGAGAUUGCUGAAGCCACUCUUAUUUCUGAGAAGG